RNAcentral lists this long non-coding RNA (1266 nucleotides) under Ursus americanus (American black bear). Its description in RNAcentral is "lncRNA (ENSUAMG00000015120.1)". Lineage: Eukaryota; Metazoa; Chordata; Mammalia; Carnivora; Ursidae. The record is from RNAcentral.
AGAAGGGAAGCUAGCAUUUAGAGAUUAAAUGUCAUCCUUUUGGCGUUGGAAAGUUGUUUACCUUGCGCUCUCUGUGUCUCCAUGUUGGCACCUUUCCAGUUCACAUGUGAUGGCCUUCCUUGUACUGCUGCAUCAUUAACUAAGUGACUGAGCUGGCCUUCCAUUGGCCAGGGGAGGGCUCUCACUCCAGACAUUUCUUCUGAUUGGUGGGUGGGCCAAUGGCAGGUGAAAACCUUUUUUUGAUUGGUUGAGGGCAGGGUAUCAAAUCUGAAUUUGCAUUUCACUUGCUUAAAGGGGAGGGGGGAGAAGCCCAGCAGCUUUCUAAAAUCUGUUUAGGGGUGUGCGUAUGCUCCUGUGUCUGUGCCUGCUUUUGACUGACCAGUUGAAGCCUCCUCUUAAGCCUUUUUUAUUUCAUGCACUCUAAGGAAGAGGCGCUCAGGGUUCCCCAAACUUUUUUUUGAAGGAGGAAGGGUUGGAGAGAUGGGUGCGCAGAGGGUCGACCAAACUGGAAAGAAAUAUUUGUCCUUUAGUUUGGUGUCGGAAGAGGGAAUUUUCAAUCUGCCACACCUCAGUGUUGCGGCAAAAUAAAUUCUUGGCUCCCCUGGAAAUGCACGGGCAAGGUAGGACAGAGCUGCUGCUGCUGACACUGCCACCACCAUGGGCUUCCUGCUGCCUCUGGGCUACUCCCCGGGGACCAGAGAUUUGCAUUGACGGGGCUGUCCAGAGCUGAGCCCAGUGUGGGAAGGACCUGCCUUCUGGAAGCUGCUGCUCCCUGGUGCUGGGAAAGGUACAGGUCCGGCUCUUUCUCCGAGUUUAUUUCCUGUAUUGCUUACCACAACGCUGCGAGGAGCGUCCCAUGGCUGGUAAGUGUUCUGCUCAUGAUUAGAACCCCUAUUCUCCCAAAGCCUUUGCUUUUUUUUUUUUUUUUUUUUNNNNNNNNNNNNNNNNNNNNUUUUUUUUACCUGUCAGUUCUCAGUGUCUGCAAAAUACCUCUUACGACGUAGAUCCCCAAAACGUGUCUAUUUAAGGAAUUUUGUACAUCCCUAAUGCCAUAUGGAGGUUUGGGUGGCCGACCUUCCUGCACCCGAGGUCUGGGUCUCUUAGUCAUUCUGUGCUGCCCUCCCUGCUACCUCGUUAACUUUCUCCUCUUCCUUUGCGGUCAGGUUCACGCAAGAUGAUGGCUUUUUUUUCUUUUUCUCUCUCUCUUUCUGGUAGCUGCAGUUGGUGGAUUAACAAACCUCAGUUACCCUGGUCACCUUCCUCCCA